GAUUAACGCUGGCGGCGUGCUUAACACAUGCAAGUCGAACGGUGAAGGCGGAGCUUGCUCUGCUGGAUCAGUGGCGAACGGGUGAGUAACACGUGAGCAAUCUGCCCCUGACUCUGGGAUAAGCGCUGGAAACGGCGUCUAAUACUGGAUACGAGCUGCGAAGGCAUCUUCAGCAGCUGGAAAGAACUUCGGUCAGGGAUGAGCUCGCGGCCUAUCAGCUUGUUGGUGAGGUAACGGCUCACCAAGGCGUCGACGGGUAGCCGGCCUGAGAGGGUGACCGGCCACACUGGGACUGAGACACGGCCCAGACUCCUACGGGAGGCAGCAGUGGGGAAUAUUGCACAAUGGGCGAAAGCCUGAUGCAGCAACGCCGCGUGAGGGACGACGGCCUUCGGGUUGUAAACCUCUUUUAGCAGGGAAGAAGCGAAAGUGACGGUACCUGCAGAAAAAGCGCCGGCUAACUACGUG
Molecule: ribosomal RNA, 468 nt
Filed under: uncultured bacterium
Lineage: Bacteria
Description: partial 16S ribosomal RNA
Rfam family: Bacterial small subunit ribosomal RNA
Source: RNAcentral